AUUGAACGCUGGCGGCAUGACCUUACACAUGCAAGUCGAACGGCAGGCACGGGAGCAAUCCUGGUGGCGAGUGGCGAACGGGUGAGUAAUAUAUCGGAACGUGCCCAGUCGUGGGGGAUAACGUAGCGAAAGCUACGCUAAUACCGCAUACGAUCUAUGGAUGAAAGCGGGGGAUCGCAAGACCUCGCGCGAUUGGAGCGGCCGAUAUCAGAUUAGGUAGUUGGUGAGGUAAAGGCUCACCAAGCCGACGAUCUGUAGCUGGUCUGAGAGGACGACCAGCCACACUGGGACUGAGACACGGCCCAGACUCCUACGGGAGGCAGCAGUGGGAAUUUUGGACAAUGGGCGCAAGCCUGAUCCAGCAAUGCCGCGUGCAGGAUGAAGGCCUUCGGGUUGUAAACUGCUUUUGUACGGAACGAAACGGUGAGCUCUAAUACAGUUUGCUAAUGACGGUACCGUAAGAAUAAGCACCGGCUAACUACGUG
RNAcentral lists this ribosomal RNA (485 nucleotides) under uncultured bacterium. RNAcentral describes it as "bacterial SSU rRNA". It matches the Rfam family "Bacterial small subunit ribosomal RNA", at positions 30 to 507 of the family's 1533-position model. The record is from RNAcentral.